GAAUUUUGGACAAUGGGCGAAAGCCUGAUCCAGCAAUGCCGCGUGCAGGAUGAAGGCCUUCGGGUUGUAAACUGCUUUUGUACGGAACGAAAAGCUUCUGGCUAAUACCCUGGACUCAUGACGGUACCGUACGAAUAAACACCGGCCAACUACGUGCAAGCACCCGCGGUAAUACGGAGGGUGCAAGCGUUAAGCGGAAUUACUGGGCGUAAAGCGUGCGCAGGCGGUUUUGUAAGACAGAGGUGAAAUCCCCGGGCUCAACCUGGGAACUGCCUUUGUGACUGCAAGGCUAGAGUACGGCAGAGGGGGGUGGAAUUCCGCGUGUAGCAGUGAAAUGCGUAGAUAUGCGGAGGAACACCGAUGGCGAAGGCAACCACCUGGGCCUGUACUGACGCUCAUGCACGAAAGCGUGGGGAGCAAACAGG
RNAcentral lists this ribosomal RNA (425 nucleotides) under uncultured bacterium. RNAcentral describes it as "partial 16S ribosomal RNA". It matches the Rfam family "Bacterial small subunit ribosomal RNA", at positions 359 to 776 of the family's 1533-position model. The record is from RNAcentral.